Molecule: ribosomal RNA, 253 nt
Filed under: uncultured bacterium
Lineage: Bacteria
Description: partial 16S ribosomal RNA
Rfam family: Bacterial small subunit ribosomal RNA
Source: RNAcentral
CACGUAGGGCGCAAGCGUUGUCCGGAAUUAUUGGGCGUAAAGAGCUCGUAGGCGGUCUGUUGCGUCCGCUGUGAAAACCCGGGGCUUAACCCUGGGCUGGCAGUGGAUACGGACAGACUAGAGGUAGGUAGGGGAGAAUGGAAUUCCCGGUGUAGCGGUGAAAUGCGCAGAUAUCGGGAGGAACGCCGGUGGCGAAGGCGGUUCUCUGGGCCUUACCUGACGCUGAGGAGCGAAAGCGUGGGGAGCGAACAGG